AGACAAACAAAUUAAAACAAGGCGACUUGGGUUUACUCAUUAUUCAUCACCCGCCAACUAUCCUUCCUCUUUUGACUGUCCCACCUCUCUAGACUCCAGCAGGGGUUUCAUCAGGGAGGGACUGGCUGCUCAGGCCUCCUGUGAUUGUAGGAGGAUUGUGUUUGUGUGUUUUUGUGUGUUUUUGUGUGUGUGUGUGUGUGUCUGUGUGUGUGUUUGUGUCUGUGUGUGUGUGUGUGUGUGUGUGUGUGUGUGUGUGUGUGUGUGUGUGUGUGUGUUCUUGUAUUUCUAUCCUUACGACGAGCCCUCACAAGAAUAGUGAGAUGAAGAAUUUACCAUGCAGACUAUUUUCAAAGAGGAAGUUUAAUAUCUAGCACUUGAAAGAUAAACCUUAGUAUUUGGAUUGGGCUUACAUUGAAGGAAAAGGGUCAAUUGACAGAAAAAUGUAUUGGCAACUAUUUUGAUAAAUAAUGUCUUCGUUUAAGCCGUUUUUUAAACUGAAUAUUUUUGAGUUUUGCACUGUUGCUCAGACAAAACAAGACAUCUGAAUAUGUCAACUUGCAUUCUGAGAAAUUUUCUGAAAUAGGUUAAUCGAGAAAAUAAUCCGCAGAUUAAACUAAUAAUUAAAAUAAUCCUUGCAGCCUUUUUAUGGUUUAUGGUUCUACAAAAGAUUUUCCCAUUAAAAUACCAGAUAGCCAAGGUGGCUAGGCUCAACAGCGAUGAUAUUCCAGCAGGACUGGUUGCCUGACCCUCAUCAGACUAGUCAUGAAUGAUGCAUCAGAACUGGCACAAGUAGGCUAUAAAUGGGCCAAUGGUACUGUACCAGUUUCAUUGGCCCAAACUUAAUCCAAGCGCUGCUUACUGGUGCUGAUUCUUUGCACAUUAUCAUGCCGAAAUCUAGGAACUCCACAGGGGUCAAAGCCAGCUCAUCUCAGCUGCAACUGGCCCGACUCGACUAUCAGGUAUAGACACAACCAUCUGGACCUCAUAGUGUUUGCUGCACACCAAUGAGCCAAACACAAGAAUGACCACAAAACCUCUUUAUGUUACCUCUUUCCUUCACUGUUGCAGGAAGAAAAUCGCCAGUCAAUAUCUCCACUGAUCACAGCCAAGCUCUUUCCUCAACAAUACGGAUCCCUUUAAAUCCCCAAGCAGCAAAACGGCCAUUAAAAGGGCUCUGCCUCAAAGCUACAGACUCCCAAUCCAUUCAGAGUCGAUGCACUUGA
Sebastes umbrosus (honeycomb rockfish) is the source of this 1223-nucleotide long non-coding RNA. RefSeq lists it as uncharacterized. The transcript is spliced from 3 exons. The record is from RefSeq and is a predicted model, not a curated record. NCBI's taxonomy places the organism in Eukaryota, Metazoa, Chordata, Actinopteri, Perciformes, Sebastidae.